AGACUUAGGAUAUUUUAAACCCAGGACCUUCAAAGUCCUUAAAAAGGGCCCUGCCCCCUUAGUUUCU
RNAcentral lists this transfer RNA (67 nucleotides) under Cnemaspis argus. Its description in RNAcentral is "tRNA-Trp". Lineage: Eukaryota; Metazoa; Chordata; Lepidosauria; Squamata; Gekkonidae. The record is from RNAcentral.